GUGGGGAAUAUUGGACAAUGGGGGGAACCCUGAUCCAGCCAUGCCGCGUGUGUGAAGAAGGCCUUUUGGUUGUAAAGCACUUUAAGCGAGGAGGAGGCUACCGAGAUUAAUACUCUUGGAUAGUGGACGUUACUCGCAGAAUAAGCACCGGCUAACUCUGUGCCAGCAGCCGCGGUAAUACAGAGGGUGCAAGCGUUAAUCGGAUUUACUGGGCGUAAAGCGCGCGUAGGUGGCCAAUUAAGUCAAAUGUGAAAUCCCCGAGCUUAACUUGGGAAUUGCAUUCGAUACUGGUUGGCUAGAGUAUGGGAGAGGAUGGUAGAAUUCCAGGUGUAGCGGUGAAAUGCGUAGAGAUCUGGAUGAAUACCGAUGGCGAAGGCAGCCAUCUGGCCUAAUACUGACACUGAGGUGCGAAAGCAUGGGGAGCAAACAGGAUUAGAAACCCUAGUAGUCC
This 451-nucleotide ribosomal RNA is filed under the name uncultured bacterium. Its description in RNAcentral is "partial 16S ribosomal RNA". It matches the Rfam family "Bacterial small subunit ribosomal RNA", at positions 354 to 796 of the family's 1533-position model. The record is from RNAcentral.